This 649-nucleotide ribosomal RNA is filed under the name Espeletia tamana. RNAcentral describes it as "eukaryotic LSU rRNA". The stretch from base 261 to 416 matches the Rfam family "5.8S ribosomal RNA". The record is from RNAcentral. Lineage: Eukaryota; Viridiplantae; Streptophyta; Magnoliopsida; Asterales; Asteraceae. RNAcentral also lists the same sequence under 1 other name.
UCGAAUCCUGCAUAGCAGAAUGACCCGUGAACUAGUACCAAUAAUAGGGCUUGGCGGGGAUCGAAGCUUAUGUUUCGACCCUCGCGAAGCCUCGCUGACAUGUGUUCAUGGGCCUCUUUGGGGCUUCAUGGACAUAAAGUUGGCACAACAACAACCCCCGGCACGACACGUGCCAAGGAACACUAAACUUAAGAGCGCCCGUGCCAUGAUGCCCCGUUUCUGGUGUGCUCGUUGUGCGUGGCUUCUUUGUAAUAUAAAACGACUCUCGGCAACGGAUAUCUCGGCUCACGCAUCGAUGAAGAACGUAGCAAAAUGCGAUACUUGGUGUGAAUUGCAGAAUCCCGUGAACCAUCGAGUUUUUGAACGCAAGUUGCGCCCGAAGCCAUCUGGUUGAGGGCACGUCUGCCUGGGCGUCACGCAUCACGUCGCCCCCACCAAGCAUCCCUUCUUGGGACGCGUUGGACGGGGGCGGAGAUUGGUCUCCCGUGCAUGUGGCGCGGUUGGCCUAAAUAGGAGCCUCCUCAAGAGGGACGCACGGCUAGUGGUGGUUGAUUGAUAAGACAGUCGUCUCGUGUCGUGUGUUUUGAUCCUUGAGGAAGGAACUCUUAAGAUACCCCGUCGCAUCGUCUUUUGAUGAUGAUUCGAUCGC